AUGCAGGAGACCCCUGACACCACCGUGGAGCCUCUUUUCUGUGGCCAGCUGGAGCUUUCUGAACCCACCUGCAUGAUGCACCACAUGAGGCCAAUUAAGUGUGUUGCAUUUGAAGGAACCUUAACUGGAAGGCAUUUCUAUGGUUGUCCAGUGCAGUAGAGUGAAGGUGUUAACUGUGGUGUUACUGAGUGGGUUGACAAGCCCUGGCAUCCAAUUCUUCAGAAUUGCUUGUCCAGGCUGUGGGACAUGUACCAUGAACAGAAUUGAGGCAGGGUAAUUGAUAAGCAGAAGUAUGAGAAGCAUUUGGCCAAGCUUAAGACUGAAAAUGACAAGCUGUGCAUUGAGUACACAAAGCUUGUCCAAGAUGUAUCCAAGAUGUUUGAUUGGCAGGAUGGUAGGGUAGGCCACAUGGAUAACUAG
Molecule: ribosomal RNA, 420 nt
Filed under: Triticum aestivum (bread wheat)
Lineage: Eukaryota; Viridiplantae; Streptophyta; Magnoliopsida; Poales; Poaceae
Description: partial small subunit ribosomal RNA
Source: RNAcentral